AAAUAGCUAACCCAAUAGCAGAUUCCGCAGAUGCCACCGUUGGAACCAAUGAAGCAAAUGAUUGACCCAUCAUAUCAUCCGAAGAAACAGAAAAUACCAAAAAGUUCGAAUUCACAGCUAAUAACAUUGAUUCAAUUGGCAUUGACAUAAUAGGAAUAUUUCCAUAUCAUCCGAAGAAACAGAAAAUACCAAAAAGUUUGAAUUCACAGCUAAUAACAUUGAUUCAAUUGACAUUGACAUAAUAGGAAUAUUUCGUCUAUUAAGGAGGAUUCCCCGAAUACCUGGAAUAGAGAUAAUCAUAGAAAAUGUGAAAUAUUUGAUAGGAUCCAUUUCGAGAACGUAGAAUGUAAGAGAAAUUCAAAUGUGAAACAAUACGUCAGCUCUUCUAUAUCCUUCAAUUAUUGAAGAAAUAUGAUUUUUUAUACUCAUGUUUCCCUUCCCAUCCUGCUCCGCCAAGUGUUGCGCUCGGGUUAACCAAGCCCUCAAGUGCCGUAAUUUAGCCUUGGAGACAUUGGGUUUGUUGGCAUUAUAGGCAG
RNAcentral lists this long non-coding RNA (536 nucleotides) under Nicotiana benthamiana. RNAcentral describes it as "long non-coding RNA (NBEN_LNC014781)". Lineage: Eukaryota; Viridiplantae; Streptophyta; Magnoliopsida; Solanales; Solanaceae. The record is from RNAcentral.